UAUUAAAAAUUUUAUCUAUUUAUAUUGUUAAAAAAUAAUGUGGUUGAUGAAAUAAAAGACAAUGAUACAUGACGUACUACGUGUACAUCAUACUGACAUACAAAAAUUAAUUUUUAACAGUAAAAAUGGAUGAAAUUAUUAACA
This 144-nucleotide microRNA precursor is filed under the name Gossypium arboreum. RNAcentral's name for it is "MIR7502 microRNA precursor family". It matches the Rfam family "MIR7502 microRNA precursor family". The record is from Rfam by way of RNAcentral. Lineage: Eukaryota; Viridiplantae; Streptophyta; Magnoliopsida; Malvales; Malvaceae.